UACAGAGGUGGCAAGCGUUGUUCGGAAUUACUGGGCGUAAAGGGCGCGUAGGCGGUUCGUUAAGUCCUGUGUGAAAUCCCCCGGCUCAACUGGGGAACUGCACAGGAAACUAGCGGGCUUGAGUUCGGGAGAGGGAAGCGGAAUUCCGGGUGUAGCGGUGAAAUGCGUAGAUAUCUGGAGGAACACCGGUGGCGAAGGCGGCAUUCUGGACCGAUAUUGACGCUGAUGAGCGAAAGCCAGGGGAGCAAACGGG
RNAcentral lists this ribosomal RNA (253 nucleotides) under uncultured bacterium. Its description in RNAcentral is "partial 16S ribosomal RNA". It matches the Rfam family "Bacterial small subunit ribosomal RNA", at positions 524 to 776 of the family's 1533-position model. The record is from RNAcentral.